This 407-nucleotide ribosomal RNA is filed under the name uncultured bacterium. RNAcentral's name for it is "partial 16S ribosomal RNA". It matches the Rfam family "Bacterial small subunit ribosomal RNA", at positions 30 to 526 of the family's 1533-position model. The record is from RNAcentral.
AUUGAACGCUGGCGGCAGGCCUAACACAUGCAAGUCGAGCGGAGCGGCGGACGGGAGAGUAAUGCCUAGGAAUCUGCCUGGUAGUGGGGGAUAAAGUCCGGAAACGGGCGCUAAUACCGCAUACUAUCAGAUGAGCCCAGGUCGGAUUAGUUAGUGGGUGGGGUAAUGGCCUAACAAGGCGACGAUCCGUAACUGGUCUGAGAGGAUGAUCAGUCACACUGGAACUGAGACACGGUCCAUACUCCUACGUGAGGCAGCAUUGGGGAAUAUUGGACAAUGGGCGAAAUCCUGAUCCAGCCAUGCCGCGUGUGUGAAGAAGUUCUUCGGAUUGUAAAGCACUUUAAGUUGGGAGGCGUUACCAACAGAAUAAGCACCGGCUAACUUCGUGCCAGCCGCCGCGGUAAUAC